AAUUAGUUUUAUGGCUGUGAACAUCCAGAAUAAGCUUUUCCGAACGCGAAAUGCGUGUGAAACCCAUAAAAUCGAACGUAAAACAGGUCAGGCGCACCGGCGCAGCCACGUCGGUCUGAGGGUACGCGACGCUAGCCGCAGCGCAAGCC
Caenorhabditis elegans is the source of this 149-nucleotide non-coding RNA. The record is from Ensembl. NCBI's taxonomy places the organism in Eukaryota, Metazoa, Nematoda, Chromadorea, Rhabditida, Rhabditidae.